GACGUACCUGGUCACGUGUGGGGAAGAUGGGGGGCCCAGCAGGGGGGCCGGAGUUAGGAAGCCCCGCCCCCCGUCCGCGCCACGAGCGCCCCGUGGGCGCCUGCGCUCUUUGCUGCCCCCUGCCGUGCUGGGCCAGCCCCGCCUGCUCGGGGUGGUGAGGCUGCAGACCCCAGCCCACCCCAAGUGCGUUACUCCAUCGUUAUGAAGCUGCACCCCUGUGUCCUUGGGCAAGUGACUGAACCUGUCUGUGUGUUGGGGGCUGCACCUGUAGGAGGAGGUGUCCGCCCCACAGGGUUGCCCAGAGCGUGGACUGCGUUUCCACACGCGAAGCGCGUGGCCUCGCGGGCCGCCAAAGAGUAAAGGCUCAUGGUAGUCGGGGGAGCUGCUGUCCGGGAGGAAGCAGGCAGCGAACACGAUGAUGGCGUUGAGACCCUCGCCGUAGUACCCUGGGGAGAGGCGGCCGGUCAAUCCGGUGUUCUUGUUCUCCGAUGAUCACCGUCCGCCAGAGGCGCCCGUUGGUGGCACCGCCGUCCUCCACUGCGCCGUCCCCGAACAGAUCUGCACUGUCACCGGGCAUGUUCUUCGCGGCGGCCACCGGGGUG
Felis catus (domestic cat) is the source of this 602-nucleotide long non-coding RNA. RefSeq lists it as uncharacterized. The record is from RefSeq and is a predicted model, not a curated record. The transcript has 4 exons. NCBI's taxonomy places the organism in Eukaryota, Metazoa, Chordata, Mammalia, Carnivora, Felidae.